GACGAACGCUGGCAGCGUGCUUAACACAUGCAAGUCGAACGGAAAGGCCCUGCUUUGGUGGGGUGCUCGAGUGGCGAACGGGUGAGUAACACGUGAGUAACCUGCCCUUGACUUUGGGAUAACUUCAGGAAACUGGGGCUAAUACCGGAUAGGAGCUCCUGCUGCAUGGUGGGGGUUGGAAAGUUUCGGCGGUUGGGGAUGGACUCGCGGCUUAUCAGCUUGUUGGUGGGGUAGUGGCUUACCAAGGCUUUGACGGGUAGCCGGCCUGAGAGGGUGACCGGCCACAUUGGGACUGAGAUACGGCCCAGACUCCUACGGGAGGCAGCAGUGGGGAAUAUUGCACAAUGGGCGGAAGCCUGAUGCAGCAACGCCGCGUGCGGGAUGACGGCCUUCGGGUUGUAAACCGCUUUCGCCUGUGACGAAGCGUGAGUGACGGUAAUGGGUAAAGAAGCACCGGCUAACUACGUG
RNAcentral lists this ribosomal RNA (468 nucleotides) under uncultured bacterium. RNAcentral describes it as "partial 16S ribosomal RNA". It matches the Rfam family "Bacterial small subunit ribosomal RNA", at positions 28 to 507 of the family's 1533-position model. The record is from RNAcentral.